RNAcentral lists this small nuclear RNA (200 nucleotides) under Microcebus murinus (gray mouse lemur). Its description in RNAcentral is "U2 spliceosomal RNA (ENSMICG00000023485.3)". The stretch from base 1 to 101 matches the Rfam family "U2 spliceosomal RNA". From Rfam's summary of the family: U2 is a small nuclear RNA (snRNA) component of the spliceosome (involved in pre-mRNA splicing). Complementary binding between U2 snRNA (in an area lying towards the 5' end but 3' to hairpin I) and the branchpoint sequence (BPS) of the intron results the bulging out of an unpaired adenosine, on the BPS, which initiates a nucleophilic attack at the intronic 5' splice site, thus starting the first of two transesterification reactions that mediate splicing. Lineage: Eukaryota; Metazoa; Chordata; Mammalia; Primates; Cheirogaleidae. The record is from RNAcentral.
AUUGCUUCUUGGCCUUUUGGCUAAGAUCAAAUGUAGUAUCUGUUCUUAUCAGUUUAAUAACUGUAGGUCUUAUCAAAGCACACUCCUGUGUAAAACCCUUCAGUGAAGUCACUCCAACAAUUACCUGCCGUUCUUUACCCUGCUCUGUAGCCCGGGAGGCUGCAGAUUACAUCCCCAGAACUCUGUUGGCUUCUAGCUUU